AUGUCUCCCCUCCACCGCCACCGCCUCGGCCGUGUCAUCGUCGUCCUGCUCGUCGUCCUCCUCGCCGCCGCUUCCCAUGGCGGUCCAGCCGACCGCCCGACGUGCCAGCUCGAGCCUCUCACCUGCGGCGAUCUCACUGUCCGCUACCCGUUCCGUCUCUACAACGGGACGGAGGACGCAGUGCCGGCGUACGGCGGGCCGCAGUCGUCGUCGUACUGCGGCUACCCCGGCCUGGGCAUCGUCUGUGACGACGACAAGCCCACCCUCCUCCUCGGGGGCCACGACUACACGGUGUCGGGCAUCAACUACACCAGCCUCACCGUCUCCCUCGCCGACGCCGACGCCCUCGACGAUGGCACCAGCUGUCCCAUGGUCGAUCACAACGUGACCGUCCCGAAGCAGUUCCAUCUGCCCACCUCCACCGUCGCCUACCUCUUCUUCUUCCUCAACUGCACCUUCCCGCCGGAAGCCGAUUUCCCUCCCAAUCCCAAGCCAUUGCGCAAGCCGCCGAGCAUCAAGCCGGUCACCUGCGGGAGCUCCGGAGAAGAGCCUGCCACCAUGUCCUUCGUGCUGCCGGAGCGCGAGAUCCCUCCCAAGGACUGGUGGCAGGCGUGCCGGUCAGUCUACGCAGCGCCCGUGCUCAAGGACGCCCUCCCGGCCGACGCAAAGGACCCCGGGUGGAGGGAGGACGGGUACGCGAAGGCUCUCCGCGGCGGGUUCCAGGUGGGCUGGGACCGGAGCUCCGGCCCGUGCGACCCGUGCGAGCAAUCCGGCGGCAAGUGCGGGUACAACCGCACCGCGGGCUUCCUGGGCUGCUUCUGCGCCAACGGCGCCCUGGUAGUUGGCAGCGCCGCCGGCUGCAGCAAGAUAUCUGACACCACCGCGCCAUUGCCCGGUUCGAACAAGAAAAAGAAUGUCACUAUAGCAGGUGUGGUGGUCGGUGUCGGAGGUGCAUUGCUUGUUGCUGCUGUCAUGGUCUUUCUGUUCAUUCGCAAGAGAAGGCAGAGGAAGGUGGUGAACUCGUCUUCGAAGCUCCUCAAGUACAGGUACAGCGGCUCGGGCGGGACCCCGACGCGCUCCAGGGGCGGCGACAUGGAGUCCGGCAGCUCCCAGGACAUGGGCAACCGGUUCAGCUACGAGGAGCUCGAGGAGGCCACCGAUUCCUUCAACGAGAACAGAGAGCUCGGCGACGGCGGCUUCGGCACCGUCUACAAAGGUUACCUUGGGGACGGGCGGGUGGUGGCGGUGAAGCGGCUGUACAACAACAGCUACCGGCGCGUGGAGCAGUUCGUGAACGAGGCGGCGAUCCUGGCCCGGCUGCGGCACCCGAACCUGGUCAUGUUCUACGGGUGCACCUCCAAGGAGAGCCGCGAGCUGCUCCUGGUCUACGAGUUCGUCCAGAACGGCACGGUGGCCGACCACCUGCACGGGCCCCGCGCGGCGGAGCGCGCCCUGCCGUGGCCGCUCCGGCUCAGCAUCGCCGUGGAGUCCGCGGCGGCGCUGACCUACCUCCACGCCAUCGAGCCGCCCAUCGUGCACCGCGACGUCAAGACCAACAACAUCCUCCUCGACACCGACUUCCACGUCAAGGUCGCCGACUUCGGCCUCUCCCGCCUCUUCCCGCUCGACGCCACCCACGUCUCCACCGCCCCCCAGGGCACCCCAGGGUACGUGGACCCGGAGUACCACCAGUGCUACCAGCUGACGGACAAGAGCGACGUGUACAGCUUCGGCGUGGUGCUGGUGGAGCUCAUCUCGUCCAAGCCCGCCGUGGACAUCACCCGGCAGAGGAACGAGAUCAACCUGGCCGGCAUGGCCAUCAGCAAGAUCCAGAAGUGCCGGCUGGAGGAGCUGGUGGACGUGGAGCUCGGCUACGAGUCGGACCCGGCGGCGAGGAAGAUGAUGACCAUGGUGGCGGAGCUGGCGUUCCGGUGCCUGCAGCAGAACGGCGAGAUGCGCCCGCCGAUCAGGGAGGUGCUGGACGUGCUCAGGGCCAUCCAGGAUGACUGCCUGGGUCACAAAGACGGUGGAGGCAAAGGCAAGAAGGACUUCGCCGAGCCCUUCUCUCCCAACACGGUGCACGCUCCCUGGGACAGCAGGAACACCACCCCUAACACCAGCCAGUAG
Molecule: ribosomal RNA, 2127 nt
Filed under: Triticum aestivum (bread wheat)
Lineage: Eukaryota; Viridiplantae; Streptophyta; Magnoliopsida; Poales; Poaceae
Description: partial small subunit ribosomal RNA
Source: RNAcentral